AGAACGAACGCUGGCGGCAGGCUUAACACAUGCAAGUCGAACGCGUGUAGCAAUACACGAGUGGCGCACGGGUGAGUAACGCGUGGAUAUCUGCCUUUUGGUUCGGAAUAACCCCGGGAAACUGGGGCUAAUACCGGAUGGUUCCUACGGGAUAAAGAUUUAUCGCCAAAAGAUGAGUCCGCGUACGAUUAGCUAGUUGGUGAGGUAAUGGCUCACCAAGGCGACGAUCGUUAGCUGGUCUGAGAGGACGAUCAGCCACACUGGGACUGAGACACGGCCCAGACUCCUACGGGAGGCAGCAGUGGGGAAUAUUGGACAAUGGGGGCAACCCUGAUCCAGCCAUGCCGCGUGAGUGAUGAAGGCCUUCGGGUUGUAAAGCUCUUUUGGCGGGGACGAUGAUGACGGUACCCGCAGAAUAAGCCCCGGCUAACGUUCGUGCCAGCAGCCGC
Molecule: ribosomal RNA, 449 nt
Filed under: uncultured bacterium
Lineage: Bacteria
Description: SSU rRNA
Rfam family: Bacterial small subunit ribosomal RNA
Source: RNAcentral